This 447-nucleotide ribosomal RNA is filed under the name uncultured bacterium. RNAcentral's name for it is "bacterial SSU rRNA". It matches the Rfam family "Bacterial small subunit ribosomal RNA", at positions 330 to 793 of the family's 1533-position model. The record is from RNAcentral.
UCCAGACUCCUACGGGAGGCAGCAGUGAGGGAUAUUGGGCAAUGGGGGAAACCCUGACCCAGCGACGCCGCGUGAGGGAAGACGGUCUUCGGAUUGUAAACCUCUGUCUUUGGGGACGAAAAAGGACGGUACCCAAGGAGGAAGCUCCGGCUAACUACGUGCCAGCAGCCGCGGUAAUACGUAGGGAGCGAGCGUUGUCCGGAUUUACUGGGUGUAAAGGGUGCGUAGGCGGCUUGGCAAGUCAGUAGUGAAAUCCAUGGGCUUAACCCAUGAACUGCUAUUGAAACUGUCGAGCUUGAGUGAAGUAGAGGUAGGCGGAAUUCCCGGUGUAGCGGUGAAAUGCGUAGAGAUCGGGAGGAACACCAGUGGCGAAGGCGGCCUACUGGGCUUUAACUGACGCUGAGGCACGAAAGCGUGGGUAGCAAACAGGAUUAGAUACCCUCGUAA